RNAcentral lists this ribosomal RNA (253 nucleotides) under uncultured bacterium. RNAcentral's name for it is "partial 16S ribosomal RNA". It matches the Rfam family "Bacterial small subunit ribosomal RNA", at positions 524 to 776 of the family's 1533-position model. The record is from RNAcentral.
UACGUAGGUGGCAAGCGUUGUCCGGAUUUAUUGGGUUUAAAGGGUGCGUAGGCGGCCCGUUAAGUCAGUGGUGAAAGCCUCCAGCUCAACUGGAGAACUGCCAUUGAUACUGACGGGCUUGAGUACAGACGAGGUUGGCGGAAUUGAUUGUGUAGCGGUGAAAUGCAUAGAUACAAUCAAGAACUCCGAUUGCGGAGGCAGCUAACUAGGCUGUAACUGACGCUGAGGCACGAAAGCGUGGUGAGCGAACAGG